GCUCAGGACGAACGCUGGCGGCGUGCCUAAUACAUGCAAGUCGAGCGGACCGACGGGAGCUUGCUCCUUAGGUCAGCGGCGGACGGGUGAGUAACACGUGGGUAACCUGCCUGUAAGACUGGGAUAACUCCGGGAAACCGGGGCUAAUACCGGAUGCUUGAUUGAACCGCAUGGUUCAAUCAUAAAAGGUGGCUUUUAGCUACCACUUACAGAUGGACCCGCGGCGCAUUAGCUAGUUGGUGAGGUAACGGCUCACCAAGGCGACGAUGCGUAGCCGACCUGAGAGGGUGAUCGGCCACACUGGGACUGAGACACGGCCCAGACUCCUACGGGAGGCAGCAGUAGGGAAUCUUCCGCAAUGGACGAAAGUCUGACGGAGCAACGCCGCGUGAGUGAUGAAGGUUUUCGGAUCGUAAAACUCUGUUGUUAGGGAAGAACAAGUACCGUUCGAAUAGGGCGGUACCUUGACGGUACCUAACCAGAAAGCCACGGCUAACUACGUGCCAGCAGCCGCGGUAAUACGUAGGUGGCAAGCGUUGUCCGGAAUUAUUGGGCGUAAAGCGCGCGCAGGCGGUUUCUUAAGUCUGAUGUGAAAGCCCCCGGCUCAACCGGGGAGGGUCAUUGGAAACUGGGGAACUUGAGUGCAGAAGAGGAGAGUGGAAUUCCACGUGUAGCGGUGAAAUGCGUAGAGAUGUGGAGGAACACCAGUGGCGAAGGCGACUCUCUGGUCUGUAACUGACGCUGAGGCGCGAAAGCGUGGGGAGCGAACAGGAUUAGAUACCCUGGUAGUCCACGCCGUAAACGAUGAGUGCUAAGUGUUAGAGGGUUUCCGCCCUUUAGUGCUGCAGCAAACGCAUAAGCACUCCGCCUGGAGACGCCCGUCU
This 884-nucleotide ribosomal RNA is filed under the name Bacillus sp. M_Sw_oHS_04/12_11_1(2). RNAcentral's name for it is "bacterial SSU rRNA". It matches the Rfam family "Bacterial small subunit ribosomal RNA", at positions 22 to 888 of the family's 1533-position model. Lineage: Bacteria; Bacillati; Bacillota; Bacilli; Caryophanales; Bacillaceae. The record is from RNAcentral.